UACGCAGGGUGCAAGCGUUGUUCGGAAUUACUGGGCGUAAAGCGCGCGCAGGCGGCCUUUUAAGUCUGACGGUGAAAUGCCGGGGCUCAACCCCGUGCCCGCCGGAGAUACUGGGAGGCUGGAGACGAGUAGAGGCAAGCGGAAUUCCGGGUGUAGCGGUGGAAUGCGUAGAGAUCCGGAAGAACACCGGUGGCGAAGGCGGUCUGCUGGGCAGUAGCUGACACUGAGGCGCGACAGCGUGGGGAGCAAACAGG
RNAcentral lists this ribosomal RNA (254 nucleotides) under uncultured bacterium. Its description in RNAcentral is "partial 16S ribosomal RNA". It matches the Rfam family "Bacterial small subunit ribosomal RNA", at positions 524 to 776 of the family's 1533-position model. The record is from RNAcentral.